CUGCUUGUUUCCCCCUCCCCAAUUUUUCUAAACUCCCGCCCUUCAGCUCAAACCUAAUUGAGCUUUCCCUCCUGCCUCUCACCACAGAAAACUCAUCCUUUCAUUCUCAAACCUAAAUCUAAUUUUCUUGUGGAUCCCCUCCUCUCUCAGCUCUCUCCCCCCUUUUAAAUAAUUUAAAAGGCAGAAGAAGAAGUGUUGUGAAGCUGGAGAAGUGUGGUGCUGAAGAGAGUUUUAGGGGUAGAAGACAGAGUGUUCUAACCCUAGAACUAGGAAUGUGAAGGCGGGGUUGAUUAGCUGCUCUAGUGAAGAAAAGGGUUGUUUUGGUGAUGUGGGUAAGAUUCUUUUGGGGAAAACGACCAGAAAUUCCAAAGCAGAGAUGGGGACCUUGGUAACACAAAUUUGUCUGGUGUUUUGGUACUUGAUCUCGGAAAACUCCAGUAUAUCCAAUAUCUUAAGCUUUACAAAAAUAACAUUCAUGGGACUAUCCUAAACGAGCUGGGAAAUUUGAAUAAUCUAAUAAGCUUGGACUUGUACAACAACAAUCUCACAGGGAUCAUUCCUCCUACUCUGGGAAAGUUGCAGUCUCUUAUUUUCUUGCGUCUGAGCAAUAAUCGUCUGGUUGGGAGAAUUCCCAUGGAACUUGUUAAUGUUUCCACCCUAAAAGUCGUGGCUGAUGCAUUCAAAUGGAAAGGCAGGUAAAUGAAUUAAAGAAGAGGGCAGAAAAUACAGAAGCCAAGAUUGAUCUUCUUACCAACCAAGUGGUUAUUAUUAAAGAAAGGUCCAAUAUGCCUCUAGAUGUUACCAUUUAUUGUAUGUAUUUUAGGUAUUUAUAUAUUUGGGAUUUGCCACCCUCACGGGAAAUAUUUGUGGAUAUUAGAUGGUAUAUGUGAUUUGGUUGUAACCCUGGUUAUUAGUACGUAAUGAAAAGUUUUGUU
Molecule: RNA transcript, 935 nt
Organism: Daucus carota subsp. sativus
Lineage: Eukaryota; Viridiplantae; Streptophyta; Magnoliopsida; Apiales; Apiaceae
Gene name: leucine-rich repeat protein 1-like
Exons: 5
Source: RefSeq, a predicted model, not a curated record